GAGGGUGUGGCUCAAGUAGUAGAGCGCAUACUUAGCAUGCAGGAGGUCCUGGGUUCAAUUCCCAGCAUCUCCC
This 73-nucleotide transfer RNA is filed under the name Camelus bactrianus (Bactrian camel). It matches the Rfam family "tRNA". Rfam says of the family: Transfer RNA (tRNA) molecules are approximately 80 nucleotides in length. Their secondary structure includes four short double-helical elements and three loops (D, anti-codon, and T loops). The record is from Rfam by way of RNAcentral. RNAcentral also lists the same sequence under 1 other name. Lineage: Eukaryota; Metazoa; Chordata; Mammalia; Artiodactyla; Camelidae.